AGUGCCUUUGCCGCUCUGAACUUAGAAGAGAUUCGAGCUUUUUGUUCAGCCGUUAAUACGCCACCACUAUCAUCAACCACAUUCUCCUUGUUCUUUACUGCUUCACUCAUAUUUCUACCUCUUUCUCUUUCUCUUUCUCUUUCUCUAGGUUAUGGAAGGAGAGUGAGAAUCUUGCUAGUUUUCUGAGCCUUCCCAACUCUAGGACAAGAAUAACAGAUACAUCAAAACAUUAAAUUUACUCUCGAAGCAUGUAAUGAACAACAAAUAGGCAUACAAAAAAGAGACAAUAAUUUCCAGAUCAACUUAAAUUGUUGGAACUUUUUUUUCCCAAUGUCAAUAUAUCUCACAAAAUUCAAAAUUAGAAGAAACAAGUGCAUUCGAAUUGAGUAAUCACAUAUCAAAAUAAUUUCAUAACUAAGGGGAAGAAUAGGACUCUUUAUCUAAGUUGCGAGGACUCUUCACUUUUGAUGCCGCAUCCAUGUCAGAUUCUCCAAAAAUACACUACUUUUGGCGAAUCCGAACGCAUUUUCGAAGAGUCUGAGCAACAUAGCUCUUUAUCAUUAUCAAAAUUCAUAGCCUUUUGAAGGGAAAUGGAACUUAAGAUCACGGAAUGAACGAACUUAUGAGUGGAAUCUUGUACACAGGCAAAUUACUAGGGAGGAAAAACUUUUUUCCAAUUGAGAUGUUGUGAAUUCUAUGCACAAAUUUGGUCAGUGCAAAUUGUAAUCCUAGCUUAUAAGACAGAGAUACAUGAUUAGCACAUAAAAUUGGGUGUAGGAGGUAAUGAUGGGUUCCGAAAUUUUUGAUUUUCAAAUGGACAGUUUCUAAAGAGGAUUCUUCGUGGUCUUAGCGGUCUCGUUUAAGGAACUUCAGAUGUAGUGCGAUUUCACUUUUGUGCAAACAUCAGAUUCCCCAAAUACUUACUUUUCUUUAGUUCCCCUUUUCUAAUUGAACCCUAAAAUAUAAAUAUAGCUAAUGUGUCUAUUUUAUAGGUGAAUAAAUUAUCGUGAAAAAACAAUAAAUUUGAAAUAAAAGAAAAGAAAAGGCGUACUUAUUGAGAGAUAAUUGGGGGCAAUGCUGGAGUAGUCUUUUGCGAGCAAGAAGUGCCUUUGCCGCUCUGAACUUAGAAGAGAUUCGAGCUUUUUGUUCAGCCGUUAAUACGCCACCACUAUCAUCAACCACAUUCUCCUUGUUCUUUACUGCUUCACUUAUAUUUCUACCUCUUUCUCUUUCUCUUUCUCUAGGUUAUGGAAGGAGAGUGGGAAUCUUGCUAGUUUUUUCUUGACUGUGUUGUGCUCUAAUAUUCCCUUCAGAAAGGAGGAUUUUUCAAAUUAUGGGCUGAUUUGACCCAGCCUACUUCUAUUGGACUAACUUUGAGUCUGGCAC
RNAcentral lists this long non-coding RNA (1386 nucleotides) under Capsicum annuum. RNAcentral's name for it is "long non-coding RNA (CANN_LNC004902)". Lineage: Eukaryota; Viridiplantae; Streptophyta; Magnoliopsida; Solanales; Solanaceae. The record is from RNAcentral.